RNAcentral lists this ribosomal RNA (253 nucleotides) under uncultured bacterium. RNAcentral describes it as "partial 16S ribosomal RNA". It matches the Rfam family "Bacterial small subunit ribosomal RNA", at positions 524 to 776 of the family's 1533-position model. The record is from RNAcentral.
UACGUAGGGUGCAAGCGUUAUUCGGAAUUACUGGGCGUAAAGCGUGCGCAGGCGGUGAUGUAAGUCAGGUGUGAAAUCCCCGGGCUCAACCUGGGAACUGCAUUUGUGACUGCAUCGCUGGAGUACGGCAGAGGGGGAUGGAAUUCCGCGUGUAGCAGUGAAAUGCGUAGAUAUGGGGAGGAACACCGAUGGCGAAGGCAAUCCCCUGGGCCGGUACUGACGCUCAUGCACGAAAGCGUGGGGAGCAAACAGG